GACGGGGGAUGCACACGUUAUCCGGAAUCACUGGGCGUAAAGCGUCUGUAGGUGGUGAUGCAAGUCACUGGUGCACAACUCUGGCUCAACCGGAGGAAAGCCAGUGAAACUGCAUGACUAGAGUGUGGGAGAGGUAGAAGGAAUUCCCUGAGUAGCGGUGAAAUGCGUAGAUACAGGGAAGAACACCGGAGGCGAAAGCGUUCUACUGGAACACAACUGACACUGAGAGACGAAAGCUAGGGGAGUGAAUGGG
This 253-nucleotide ribosomal RNA is filed under the name uncultured bacterium. Its description in RNAcentral is "partial 16S ribosomal RNA". It matches the Rfam family "Bacterial small subunit ribosomal RNA", at positions 524 to 776 of the family's 1533-position model. The record is from RNAcentral.